CCAUGCAGGAGAAGAGGAGUUUCGAACAGAGUUCAAAGUGCCUCCCUUCCAGGACUGCAUCCUCAGUUUCCUGGGUUUCUUAGAUGAAGAUAAGGCCAACAUGGAGGAGAGGACUCUCAAACAUGGUGGCACUUAUCUUGAGGUUGGAGACGAGCGCUGUACACACAUGGUGGUGGAGGAAAACUCAGUAAAGGAGCUGCCAUUUCCUCCCUCCAGUAAACUCUUUGUGGUCAAACAGGAGUGGUUCUGGGGAAGCAUACAGAUGGACGCUCGGGCCGGAGAGUCCAUGUACCUCUACGAGAAG
Notothenia coriiceps (black rockcod) is the source of this 304-nucleotide long non-coding RNA. RefSeq lists it as uncharacterized. The transcript has 3 exons. The record is from RefSeq and is a predicted model, not a curated record. Lineage: Eukaryota; Metazoa; Chordata; Actinopteri; Perciformes; Nototheniidae.